CCUGCAUCCCCCUCGGUCCAUUCUGCCAGCUCCCAAAGCCGGGCCGUGCCUGCGAGGUCACCUCGGGCAGAGCCGCCUGCCUGGCUCGGCGAGGGGAACAGGCGGAGUCCGUGGCGUGUGUGGAAAAUCUCCCUGCAGAAUCUAACGGGAGCACCGCGAGCUGGCCUGUGCGGGGUCUGCCUGAGAAAUGAGAGCAUGGAGAAGGAAUGUCAGGACCUGCUCCCAGAGAAAUGAGCGAACCAUCUGCCAAAAGCACAGAAAAGCACCAGACCAUCAACUUUGCUGCUUCUCCAGUGGGAGAAAUGACAUCCGCAGGCGAAAAUCAGAGGCAACACACACUGCCUUCCAAAUGUAAAGGGAGGGAUGGAAAAAGAGCCAGGAAGAGAAGGUAACUCCAGCACAGAGAGCGAUGCAGAGGGGCCAUCUGAGAGGCAUGAACAGAGUAAUGCACUCAGUCUUUCAGCAGCCUUCAAUUGCUGCUCCUUCCAUGCAGGAA
This is a long non-coding RNA of Corvus hawaiiensis (hawaiian crow), 496 nucleotides long. RefSeq lists it as uncharacterized. Lineage: Eukaryota; Metazoa; Chordata; Aves; Passeriformes; Corvidae. The transcript is spliced from 3 exons. The record is from RefSeq and is a predicted model, not a curated record.